UGAGGGGAUGACAAUAAAAUGUGUUCAGGUAUAGUUCACCCAAAAAGGAAAACUGUCAUGUUCCAAACCUGGAUGACUUCCCUUUUUUGCAGAACAUUAUAGAAGAUAUUUUGACCAUUGUUCAUAACCAAAAUGCUUUGGUUACCAUUGACUUUUAUUCUAUGGACAAAAAACAGUGAGACAUUUCUCAAAAUUCUUUUAUGUUUCACAGAAAAAAGGUGAAUAAACGAUGACAGAAUUGUAUCUGAAUUUAUGAAUGGAGAAGUGGCAAACAUAGGAUACUAAAUUGCACUUUUUAAAGUUUUUUAAAACUUUGUUCAGAGUGUGGCAAGAACUGUAAUAACUGAUUUAAGACUGAACAAUAAACAGUUACUGGUGUCAGGUGAA
Molecule: long non-coding RNA, 387 nt
Organism: Rhinichthys klamathensis goyatoka
Lineage: Eukaryota; Metazoa; Chordata; Actinopteri; Cypriniformes; Leuciscidae
Exons: 2
Source: RefSeq, a predicted model, not a curated record